RNAcentral lists this transfer RNA (74 nucleotides) under Candidatus Epulonipiscium sp. RNAcentral's name for it is "tRNA-Arg". It matches the Rfam family "tRNA". Rfam says of the family: Transfer RNA (tRNA) molecules are approximately 80 nucleotides in length. Their secondary structure includes four short double-helical elements and three loops (D, anti-codon, and T loops). The record is from RNAcentral. Lineage: Bacteria; Bacillati; Bacillota; Clostridia; Lachnospirales; Lachnospiraceae.
GCACGCAUAGCUCAGCUGGAUAGAGCAUCUGACUUCGGAUCAGAGAGUCGAGGGUUCGAAUCCUUCUGCGUGCG